Molecule: transfer RNA, 73 nt
Filed under: Bos taurus (domestic cattle)
Lineage: Eukaryota; Metazoa; Chordata; Mammalia; Artiodactyla; Bovidae
Also listed under: 3 other names
Rfam family: tRNA
About the family: Transfer RNA (tRNA) molecules are approximately 80 nucleotides in length. Their secondary structure includes four short double-helical elements and three loops (D, anti-codon, and T loops).
Source: Rfam by way of RNAcentral
UCCCUGGUGGUCCGGUGGUUAGGACUCCAAGCUCUCACUGCCAAGGGCCCAGGUUCAAUUCCUGGUCGGGGAU